Molecule: long non-coding RNA, 346 nt
Filed under: Physcomitrium patens
Lineage: Eukaryota; Viridiplantae; Streptophyta; Bryopsida; Funariales; Funariaceae
Description: long non-coding RNA (PPAT_LNC008258)
Source: RNAcentral
GAGAAUAAGGGUUUUUGAAGGAUCAGAGAGCUAGCUUCAUGCUUCGGGAGGGGGAAAAAAGACAAAGAAUUGGGUUUUUUUUCUUCAUAGGGUUUUAAGAAGACUAAGGCAAUCGUUGCUGAAGCCGAUGUGUUGUACUGGUAAAUUGGAGUUUUAAUGAAGUGGGUGUGAUUACUCUUGACUGUUUUGGGAAAUCGAAGUUACGUUUGUGAUUGAAGAAUUAAAAGGGUGUCUAUAGGAUUGAGUAUGCGGAGUGAAUGAAAUUUUUUGGGUUAAUCUAACAAGACAGUUGAUGGAUAUAAGGUCGUGAGUAUAAAGCGGUAUUGGAGAUUAGCAGAUUGAAUUG